RNAcentral lists this unclassified non-coding RNA (372 nucleotides) under soil metagenome. Its description in RNAcentral is "partial contains 5.8S ribosomal RNA, internal transcribed spacer 2, and large subunit ribosomal RNA". The stretch from base 1 to 120 matches the Rfam family "5.8S ribosomal RNA", at positions 35 to 154 of the family's 154-position model. The record is from RNAcentral.
GAUGAAGAACGCAGCGAAAUGCGAUAAGUAAUGUGAAUUGUAGAAUUCAGUGAAUCAUCGAAUCUUUGAACGCACCUUGCGCUCCUUGGUAUUCCGAGGAGCAUGCCUGUUUGAGUGUCAUGAAUCUCUCAAACUCUUAGUUUCAUUACUGAGUGUUUGGAUUUGGAGGUCUAUGCUGGCGCAAGUCAGCUCCUCUUAAAUACAUUAGCUUGGGUCUUGCAUGUCUGGAUCCUUGGUGUGAUAAUUAUCUACGCCAUGAUGUCCCUUCAAGCCCUGCUUCUAAUCGUCUGAAUAAGACAAUUUAUUACUUGACAUCUGACCUCAAAUCAGGUAGGACUACCCGCUGAACUUAAGCAUAUCAAUAAGCGGAGA